AUCGAAGAUCGAUUUCCGCGGCUACGUUCACAUCUUCACAUCGCCUGAAUCGGCGAAGGUUUGCCGUAAUUGCCGACAGGUGGCGCCAGCAUAUAUUUUUCCGCUCGAAUUGAAGGACCGGAAAACAACAUGUAUUUCAAACGUGUCAAGAAUGCAGACAAUCUUGAAGCGCAUUGAUAACCACGCAGACGGAGAGCACGUUUAUUUCGCCGCUACUCUACUACUGCUGAAGCAUGUUUGCGUCUCGCAUCCAAGAUUAAAUGAGUCAGGUUUGUAAUCGACGGAAAAUAUUUUCAUUUUUAUUUUAUUUAUUUCGUUUCCAGUUUCUCGUUCUUCAAACCACUUUAGCCUUCUGAACAUCUAUUUUAUAAUCUUAAAAUGCAAGAAAAUGCAGCCAAAACGCCAACACUUAAAAAUGCACUCGAAAUCCGCGCGCGAGGCGCUGCUCCUCUUUUUCUCGGACGUUUUUUUUCUUUCUCUACGCUUUCCCACCGAAAUUUCCCAGACUGACCGAUGCA
This is a long non-coding RNA of Ooceraea biroi (clonal raider ant), 518 nucleotides long. RefSeq lists it as uncharacterized. Lineage: Eukaryota; Metazoa; Arthropoda; Insecta; Hymenoptera; Formicidae. The record is from RefSeq and is a predicted model, not a curated record.